GACUACAGAGAUGCCACCCUGAAUGUGCCCAGUCUCAUUUAAUCUCAGAAGCUAAGCAAGACCAAACUUUUUAAUAUUUAGAUAGGAGAUUGUCUGGGAAUACUGGGUGCUGUAACCU
RNAcentral lists this ribosomal RNA (118 nucleotides) under Phascolarctos cinereus (koala). The record is from RNAcentral. Lineage: Eukaryota; Metazoa; Chordata; Mammalia; Diprotodontia; Phascolarctidae.